CGGGGAGUGGCGCAGUCCGGUUAGCGCGCGUGCUUUGGGAGCACGAGGCCGGGGGUUCAAAUCCCCCCUCCCCGA
Molecule: transfer RNA, 75 nt
Filed under: Chloroflexota bacterium
Lineage: Bacteria; Bacillati; Chloroflexota
Description: Chloroflexi bacterium tRNA-Pro
Rfam family: tRNA
About the family: Transfer RNA (tRNA) molecules are approximately 80 nucleotides in length.
Source: RNAcentral